UGAACAUUUUUGUGUCACUGAACUCAAGGGGACACAAUGGUUAUUCAAGAGGGUGAUAAUAUUUUCCUUGGUCAAACAUAAGAUUUUUUUUUUCCUAAGAAGAAAAAUGGUGUACCAUAGCCAAAGGCAUAGCUUCUGGGCCUUUGCCUAGUAAAAAUUGCUCCAUGACUGAGAAUUUUUGCUAGCUGUCAUAGAUCCUUGAACAAGGCCUCAAAAAAAGUUAGCUGUUGGUUGCUAUUAUGGUCUGGCAUCCUCCUAAUCUAACCCUGGAACUGGGCGGCUGACUAAGCAGUAUUGCUCACUGAUACCCUAGCUCCUCGAGAUAAAAUAAACAGAGGCAAGUAGGUACUUCCAAAGUUAUCCAUUUCUCCUAAGAGGACUGUGGGACAGCAGCCAAAGAACAAGCAAGCUAUCCCACAAGAUGAGAAGACAUGAUGGACUCUGUCUAGAAGAGAGUGGGGCAGAAGUCUUACCAACUGUGGUCUUUGCUAACCCGGAUAUACUGAGAAUGGAGUAAGAAAAACAAUUAAAAUGAAGAUUAUCAUCAUCCUCUAACCCAGAUCAUAGAAAAGCACCAGACCUGCUUCAUAAACGGAGACUUUAAGAAACUGUUGAAAGAGAAACAAUAGGUACGACCCGAUCUAUAGUUGAAAUGGAAAUUCCUCAAAAUUGCAGAUAAGCAGGCCUUUGCAAAUCAGCUGUGUACAUGAGUGCACAAUCUCACACACAGGAGGUGGAUGGAGGAUCUUAAGUUUGAGGCCAGCCUGAUACAGCGAGACCCUCGCUUUAAACAAACCAAAACAAAAAGGAAAGAAAGAAAAUCUACUUGUUUGUGUUCAUUUUCUUCCCUUUGAAAAAUCAGAUGUUAACAAAC
This 874-nucleotide long non-coding RNA is filed under the name Mus musculus (house mouse). RNAcentral's name for it is "long non-coding RNA chr10:122660720-122661594". Lineage: Eukaryota; Metazoa; Chordata; Mammalia; Rodentia; Muridae. The record is from RNAcentral.